Molecule: ribosomal RNA, 295 nt
Filed under: uncultured bacterium
Lineage: Bacteria
Description: partial 16S ribosomal RNA
Rfam family: Bacterial small subunit ribosomal RNA
Source: RNAcentral
GGAUUAGAUACCCUGGUAGUCCACGCUGUAAACGAUGUCAACUAGCUGUUGGCCUUAUAAAUAAGGUAAGUGGCGAAGCUAACGCGAUAAGUUGACCGCCUGGGGAGUACGGUCGCAAGAUUAAAACUCAAAGGAAUUGACGGGGGCCCGCACAAGCGGUGGAGCAUGUGGUUUAAUUCGAUGCAACGCGAAGAACCUUACCUACCCUUGACAUAUAGACUAAGACUUAAGAGAUUAGGUUGUGCCGAAAGGAAGGUCUAUACAGGUGCUGCAUGGCUGUCGUCAGCUCGUGCCG